This 253-nucleotide ribosomal RNA is filed under the name uncultured bacterium. RNAcentral's name for it is "partial 16S ribosomal RNA". It matches the Rfam family "Bacterial small subunit ribosomal RNA", at positions 524 to 776 of the family's 1533-position model. The record is from RNAcentral.
UACGUAGGGUGCGAGCGUUGUCCGGAAUUAUUGGGCGUAAAGAGCUCGUAGGCGGUUUGUCGCGUCGACUGUGAAAACCUACAGCUUAACUGUGGGCUUGCAGUCGAUACGGGCAGACUUGAGUUCGGUAGGGGAGACUGGAAUUCCUGGUGUAGCGGUGAAAUGCGCAGAUAUCAGGAGGAACACCGGUGGCGAAGGCGGUGGGCUGGGCCGGCACUGACGCUGAGGAGCGAAAGCGUGGGGAGCGAACAGG